GAUGAAGAACGUAGUGAAAUGCGAUAAGUAAUGUGAAUUGCAGAAUUCAGUGAAUCAUCGAAUCUUUGAACGCACAUUGCGCCCGCCAGUAUUCUGGCGGGCAUGCCUGUUCGAGCGUCAUUUCAACCCUCAAGCACUGCUUGGUGUUGGGGACCGGCUUGCCUUCAGCGCCUGCCGCCCCCGAAAUACAGUGGCGGUCUCGCCGCAGCCUCCUCUGCGUAGUAGUUUACAACCUCGCAUACGGAGCGCGGCGCGGCCACGCCGUAAAACCCCCUACUUUCAAAGGUUGACCUCGAAUCAGGUAGGAAUACCCGCUGAACUUAAGCAUAUCAAUAAGCGGAGGA
This 344-nucleotide unclassified non-coding RNA is filed under the name soil metagenome. Its description in RNAcentral is "partial contains 5.8S ribosomal RNA, internal transcribed spacer 2, and large subunit ribosomal RNA". The stretch from base 1 to 120 matches the Rfam family "5.8S ribosomal RNA", at positions 35 to 154 of the family's 154-position model. The record is from RNAcentral.